UACAGAGGGUGCGAGCGUUAAUCGGAAUUACUGGGCGUAAAGGGCGCGUAGGCGGCCUUCUAAGUCGAACGUGAAAUCCUCGGGCUCAACCCGGGAACUGCGUCCGAUACUGGAAGGCUUGAAUCCGGGAGAGGGAUGCGGAAUUCCAGGUGUAGCGGUGAAAUGCGUAGAUAUCUGGAGGAACACCGGUGGCGAAGGCGGCAUCCUGGACCGGUACUGACGCUGAGGUGCGAAAGCGUGGGGAGCAAACAGG
This 253-nucleotide ribosomal RNA is filed under the name uncultured bacterium. RNAcentral describes it as "partial 16S ribosomal RNA". It matches the Rfam family "Bacterial small subunit ribosomal RNA", at positions 524 to 776 of the family's 1533-position model. The record is from RNAcentral.